This 1421-nucleotide long non-coding RNA is filed under the name Daphnia pulicaria. Its description in RNAcentral is "uncharacterized LOC124312530, transcript variant X3". The record is from RNAcentral. Lineage: Eukaryota; Metazoa; Arthropoda; Branchiopoda; Diplostraca; Daphniidae.
AUGACUUUCUAGAUUGACGUGAAACGUUUUAGCUGUUGUGAAGGUGCAAACUCAAAGUCAAAGGAAUACGUAUUUAUGUUCAUAUGUCUUUAGAUUUUUUAUGCUCAAUGGUGUAUGUUGGUUGUAGUGAAAAGAGGAAUUUUGGUUAUUAUUUAACUUUUUAGGCGGAACAAAAUUUAUAAAGUGAAAAAGUUGCAGACCAGUUUUGGAUCACACAAUUGCAACACAAGAUUUCCCUCGUGAAUCGUGUUCCUUGAAGUGGAAGCUACGAGUUCAUCUCUCAGUCUGACUGGGCAAAAUUCAAAAUUGAAACCUUCCUAAAAGUGAUCAGUGAAGACAGCAUCACACACCAUAGCAAGCUGCAGCGUUUUCUGCUUUGUCAUUGGACUCCACAAGUUAUUGGCACAAGCAGGGAGGCAAGCUAUAACCAAAGCACAUUGCCUUACUUCAUUGCCCCAAGGCCAUCUACAACACAGCAAAACAUAGUCAUCCUUCAUCGGCUUCACUCUAUAAGGCUGAAAGUGACUCCGGCUCUCCAUGGAGAUGUAGCACUCGUAAUGAAGCAAGAUGAAUGCAAUCGCCUGAUUAACAACAGCAGGAUCAAAGCGUUGAUAGCUACGACGAGGCGGGGAAAGACGCUGCCCAUUAGUCAAUUUGUUAAAGUCACUCAACCCUUUGACGCAACGUCAGAGCAUGCUCUGCUACAUCACGAAAAUUUGUUAAGGCAUAAGCGAUUGAUAGAGAUCCUGCUGGGCCACAUAACAAAGCGGCAAUUUGGGAAAAAAGGCUGGUCCUUGACAACGAUGAAGACAGCGACUUCCUCAACGUGGAAUGAACAUCGAUGUUGAAUGCUGCGAAGAGAUCGGAUGCGGAAGUUAUGCCUCUCAUUGAUUCAUCAAGACAGUUGUCCCUCACGCUUCUACCUCUUUUACGGCUAAUUUUAUUCUCAACGGAUCGCCCGUCGUGGUCACAUUCACAUCUGGGGCACCGAGAACAAGUCACACACAACUUUAUUUUACAGCGGCAAACAGAAGUCAUGACGGAAGCAAAAAGGAUUUGACACUGAGCUUUCCUGACGUAGAAAAAGGCUUUCAAGGGAAGACGUGAACUACAUAAAGUUUUAUUAGUGCGACAUAAAAGUUAACCGAGAUAAACUUAUCCCAUACAUUUUUUCCCAUUCAAGGUUAACUUUUCUACCAUGAAUAUGCGUCAUCGGGCCGGAAUCUAACCAAAAUUCUACCCUUUCUGAGCAGUUCAACGGAGAUGUCUUUGCAUGGUAAACCUACACGGUAACAUUGUUUUAGUUGGUGAUUUAUCGCUUUAACAUUUUAUGUCCAGUGCAAUGUUACUUAUAUUUGUGUUACGGAAUGUAGUAGCUGAGCGGACACAUCAACCCACUUGUGCUAUAUUUUCUUAUUUGU